RNAcentral lists this ribosomal RNA (493 nucleotides) under uncultured bacterium. RNAcentral describes it as "partial 16S ribosomal RNA". It matches the Rfam family "Bacterial small subunit ribosomal RNA", at positions 29 to 508 of the family's 1533-position model. The record is from RNAcentral.
AGUGAACGCUGGCGGUAGGCCUAACACAUGCAAGUCGAACGGCAGCACAGUAAGAGCUUGCUCUUACGGGUGGCGAGUGGCGGACGGGUGAGGAAUACAUCGGAAUCUACUUUUUCGUGGGGGAUAACGUAGGGAAACUUACGCUAAUACCGCAUACGACCUACGGGUGAAAGCAGGUGAUCUUCGGACCUUGCGCGAUUGAAUGAGCCGAUGUCGGAUUAGCUAGUUGGCGGGGUAAAGGCCCACCAAGGCGACGAUCCGUAGCUGGUCUGAGAGGAUGAACAGCCAAAAUGGGACUGGGACACGGUCCAGACUCCUACGGGAGGCAGCAGGGGGGAAUAUUGGACAAUGGGCGCAAGCCUGAUCCAGCCAUACCGCGUGGGGGAAGAAGGCCUUCGGGUUGUAAAGCCCUUUUGUUGGGGAAGAAAAGCAGCAGGUUAAUACCCCGCUGUUCUGACGGUACCCAAAGAAUAAGCACCGGCUAACUUCGUGC